AUUGAACGCUGGCGGCAGGCCUAACACAUGCAAGUCGAACGAGUGGCGGACGGGUGAGUAAUGUCUGGGAAACUGCGUGAUGGAGGGGGAAAACUACUGGAAACGGUAGCAAAUACCGCAUACUAGCGGAUGUCCACAUAUGGGUUUAGCUAGUAGGUGGGGUAAAGGCUCACCUAGGCGACGAUCCCUAGCUGGUCUGAGAGGAUGACCAGCCACACUGGAACUGAGACACGGUCCAGACUCCUACGGGAGGCAGCAGUGGGGAAUAUUGCACAAUGGGCGCAAGCCUGAUGCAGCCAUGCCGCGUGUAUGAAGAAGGCCCUCGGGUUGUAAAGUACUUUCAGCGGGGAGGCGUUACCCGCAGAAGAAGCACCGGCUAACUACGUGCCAGCAGCCGCGGUAAUAC
Molecule: ribosomal RNA, 406 nt
Filed under: uncultured bacterium
Lineage: Bacteria
Description: partial 16S ribosomal RNA
Rfam family: Bacterial small subunit ribosomal RNA
Source: RNAcentral